GGGUCCUGGAAGGUCAAAGUGUUAUAUGGCCACCCAUGGGUUUUAAUGGGUCCCUGUAUGGGUUCGGGUCCUGGAAGGUCAAAGUCAUAUAGGGCCGCCCAUGGGUUCCAAUGGGUCCUUUGAUGGGGUGGGGUCCCGGAAGGCGCGUUGCCAUUGGGCGCUGAGCUCAGGUCCUUGCAGGUCAGAGCCGCGGCUUCGCCUUCGUGGAGUUCCACCACGUCCAGGAGGCGGCGCGUUGGAUGGACGCCAACCAGCAGGGCGUGGUGCUGUUGGGGCAGCGCGUCUCCCUGCACUACAGCGACCCCAAACCCAAAAUCAACGAGGACUGGCUGUGCGCCAAGGUGCCCUAUGGGGUUAUGGGGUCAUAUGGGGUCCUAUGGGGUCAUAUGGGGUCUUAUGGGGUU
This 404-nucleotide long non-coding RNA is filed under the name Gallus gallus (chicken). The record is from RNAcentral. Lineage: Eukaryota; Metazoa; Chordata; Aves; Galliformes; Phasianidae.